AACUGCAUUCGAAACUGGCAGGCUUGAGUCUUGUAGAGGGGGGUAGAAUUCCAGGUGUAGCGGUGAAAUGCGUAGAGAUCUGGAGGAAUACCGGUGGCGAAGGCGGCCCCCUGGACAAAGACUGACGCUCAGGUGCGAAAGCGUGGGGAGCAAACAGGAUUAGAUACCCUGGUAGUCCACGCCGUAAACGAUGUCUACUUGGAGGUUGUGCCCUUGAGGCGUGGCUUCCGGAGCUAACGCGUUAAGUAGACCGCCUGGGGAGUACGGCCGCAAGGUUAAAACUCAAAUGAAUUGACGGGGGCCCGCACAAGCGGUGGAGCAUGUGGUUUAAUUCGAUGCAACGCGAAGAACC
This 352-nucleotide ribosomal RNA is filed under the name Salmonella enterica. RNAcentral's name for it is "bacterial SSU rRNA". It matches the Rfam family "Bacterial small subunit ribosomal RNA", at positions 619 to 970 of the family's 1533-position model. The record is from RNAcentral. RNAcentral also lists the same sequence under 1 other name. Lineage: Bacteria; Pseudomonadati; Pseudomonadota; Gammaproteobacteria; Enterobacterales; Enterobacteriaceae.